AUCGCGUCGCCCCCCCAACACCGUGCAUGAAAUAUUGCGGUCUUUCGGAGGGCGGACAUUGGCUUCCCGUGCUUCGGCACGGCUGGCAUAAAUGCGAGUCCCUUGCGACGGACGACGACAAGUGGUGGUUGGUUUUUCAACUAAGGUGCUGUCGUUCGUCGACCCGUCGGAUGAGGAGACUUCCAUGACCCUAGCCAYGUCACACGACGCCUGCCACGACCGC
Molecule: ribosomal RNA, 223 nt
Filed under: Gentiana pudica
Lineage: Eukaryota; Viridiplantae; Streptophyta; Magnoliopsida; Gentianales; Gentianaceae
Source: RNAcentral